This 274-nucleotide ribosomal RNA is filed under the name uncultured bacterium. RNAcentral's name for it is "partial 16S ribosomal RNA". It matches the Rfam family "Bacterial small subunit ribosomal RNA", at positions 523 to 796 of the family's 1533-position model. The record is from RNAcentral.
AUACAGAGGGUGCAAGCGUUAAUCGGAAUUACUGGGCGUAAAGCGCGCGUAGGUGGUUAGUUAAGUUGGAUGUGAAAGCCCUGGGCUCAACCUGGGAAUGGCAUUCAAAACUGGCUGACUAGAGUAUGGUAGAGGGAAGGGGAAUUCCAGGUGUAGCGGUGAAAUGCGUAGAUAUCUGGAGGAACAUCAGUGGCGAAGGCGCCUUCCUGGACUAAUACUGACACUGAGGUGCGAAAGCGUGGGUAGCAAACAGGAUUAGAAACCCCGGUAGUCC